Planococcus sp. PAMC 21323 is the source of this 100-nucleotide regulatory RNA element. It matches the Rfam family "pan motif". The record is from Rfam. Lineage: Bacteria; Bacillati; Bacillota; Bacilli; Caryophanales; Caryophanaceae.
UGGGCAGUAUCGUUUACGAACUGCACCAAACAACCGUAAGACACUUAAAAUGAAUACUAAUAUGUUCUGCCUUGAUCAAAUUCACGACAGGGACGGAGGA